Molecule: unclassified non-coding RNA, 247 nt
Filed under: uncultured fungus
Lineage: Eukaryota; Fungi
Description: sequence contains ITS2
Rfam family: 5.8S ribosomal RNA (bases 1-52)
Source: RNAcentral
AACGCACAUUGCGCCCGCCAGUAUUCUGGCGGGCAUGCCUGUUCGAGCGUCAUUUCAACCAUCAAGCCCCCGGCUUGCGUUGGGGACCUGCGGCUGCCGCAGGCCCUGAAAACCAGUGGCGGGCUCGCUAGUCACUCCGAGCGUAGUAGUUACAUCUCGCUCAGGGCGUGCUGCGGGUUCCGGCCGUUAAAAGCCUUAUUUACCCAAGGUUGACCUCGGAUCAGGUAGGAAGACCCGCUGAACUUAA